AUUAAAGUUAGGGCAAGUUUCAGACGACACAAUCUGCUUCGACACUCCGCAGGGAGCAGCCUCCGCUAUCGCCUCAGGUGACAAGUUCUGCUGUCUGAUGGAGGAGGCAUUGGUGACCAUCUUGAGGUUGUGAUGAAAAAUAAAGUGGUGGAGAUGGUGGAAAAAGCCUUUGUGAAAUUGAGAGUUGAUUUAGACACCAAUGGGGAAGAGAAGACUUUGGAUUUUGAUGAAUACUGAUUGUGCCGUACACUUGUUGGAUUGGAGGAAAUCAAGAGAGAGAAGGAUCCUGCUAAGAAGUUUUUGUUUCCUGGAGGUAGAAGGUGGUGCGAAUGGGAUGGAGGACUCAACCCCACUCUUUGGGGUGGCUCAACAACAUCUUGGCACCCUUGUAACCGAGCUCAUGCGAAUGAUUGACAAAAUUUUUAAGCAAAACCUGACUGUUACUCCAAUUUUAAUUGCAGAGGUAGCAAGUACUCUGACUGAGAUUCCUGCUUCAUGGCUCCUUCAUUUUUCAGAGCCGCCACUUCAGGGCCUUGAACCAAGACUCACUAAAGGGGUGAUGCUGAUUGGACAAGAACAUGUUCCAUUUGUUAUUAGCAAUGCAUUGUCAAGGCAUAGAGUUGCUUCUCAAUCUUGCACAAUUGGGUCAUUUAUUUUUUUAAAUGGCUUUGUGCAAGGAUGGACAGAGACCGCCAAAGCUCUUUCCGAGCAACUCUUUGACUUGACAAAGAAAGUUACUCAGACUCACAAUCUGUAUCAUGCCUCUUUGGUUUUUCCUCCAGUUCAUCUAUUCUGACAGAAGGACUGCUCACAGAAGCUGUGAAGAGUGGGCCUUACACCGUAGUGUUGUUUGACAAUGUUUAUAGGUCUCAUCCUUCUGUUACUGAUGCUCUGAUUGAGAUCAUUAGCCAUGGCAGAGUAUCAAAUGGCCAAGGAAACACCACUGACUUCACCAAAACAUUGAUUAUCAUGACAUCAAAUGUUAUGGAUGGUAAGGUCCAAUGGUGGCACUGCCAAUGUGUACAGAUGGUUCGAGAAAUCCCGCUGAAAGACUUAUCUUCUGGUGCAUUGCAACAAGAGCAUCAAUGCACCUAUCUAGAUCUUCUGAGGGAGGUUAGAAAACAUUUCAAACAGGAUGACGUGAUUCUUUUUAAGAAAUUUUCUUUUGAGCACUAUAUGGCUGCUACGAGUCUCCAGCUAAGGGAAAUAGACUGCUUCAUGACGGAGAAAAGGCUGAUUUUAUACACAUCUGACGCUGCACUCCAUUGUAUUCUGAGCAAGAUAAAACUUUAUCAAAGGGGUGAAUAUGCUUUGAGGAUUUGGCUAGAGGGGAAUUUGCUCGCUUCGUUAUUUGAUAUGCUUGCAGAAAAUGACAUAGAUGAUAUGUCCACGUUUUACACUGAUGCGCUGGUGGGACAAAAGGAGUUGUCUUAUAGAUUGGAGAAAGGUGGCUAUCAAACGAAAAAUCUGUUCAUGAAGCUGUACAAAGAAUCUUUAAGGGGAUUAAGAGCAAUGUAUUUGAAAGAGAAAGAACGAGUCAACAAGAUCUACUUGUUAAGAAGAAAUUUGUUUGAACUGAUGAAUUUACCAGAUGCGGAGGCUAGAGCAGAUUUGGAAGAAUCGCAAAAAAUGUUGGUUUCAUGUUUACAGGAGGUGGAAGGUGUGAAUGGGAUGGACUCGACCCCACUGUCUGGGGUGGCUCAACAUCUUUCUACCCUUGUAAGCUCAUUCUAAUGAUUCAUGAAAAUUUUAAGCAAAACCUGACUGUUACUCCAAUUCUAAUUGUAGAGGUAGCAAGUCCUCUGACUGGGAUUUCUGCUUCAUGGCUUCACCAUUUUCCGGAGCCGCCACUUCAGGGCCUUGAACCAAGGCUCGCUAAAGGGCUGAUAAAGAUUGGACACAAACAUGUUCCAUUAGUUAUUAGCAAUGCAUUGUCAAAGCGUAGAGUUGUUUCUCAAUCUCACCCAAUCGGAUCAUUUCUAUUUUUUAAUGGUCGUGUGCCGGGAUGGACAGAGAUUGCCAAAGCUCUUGCCAAGCAACUUUAUGGCGACAAAGAAUUUUUGAUAGUAUUUGACUUGUCAGAAUUUUGCUCCAACUCUCAUUUUCAUCUAAGGUGGACACCUAGAAAAAGCAACGUGGUUGCUCAUCUUGUAGGCCAGUUGGCUUUGUCAUCACGUUCUGGAUACUCAGACUCACAAUCUGUCUCACACCUCGUUGGUUUUCCCACCAGUUCCUGUUAUCAUGAAAACUGUUGCAUAGAAGGACUGCUCACAGAAGCUGUGAAGAGCAGGCCUUUCACCGUGUUGUUGUUUCGCAAUGGUGUCAUUGUUAGUAUGAUUGACAUAAAUUUCUUGUGUGUGUUGAACCAUUUGUUCAUUAACUGACACCUCCACACAAGUGGUUCCAUCCUUUGAAGCCACAAACAUCCUAUUUCUUUCAUCGUCGCCCACGGCAGUCCGUAUAUGUAAACCCUCCACACUCCUCGUUAUGUAGUAAUUCAGUCCCUGAGCGUACCAGUCUUCUAUUCUUUCCUAGCAGGCAAAAAUACCCCAAUCUCAUUCUUCCACGGAUAGAUUUCAUAAAUUCGGUACUGAUUUUCUUCCAAAAGGACUAGCUGUAAACUUGGAGAUAUACCACCCACCAUUUUGAAGUGCCUAAGUUCUUCUAUAUUAGUAGCAGUGCUUAAGGUAAAUCUCGAAUGAUCUUGCCAACCAUACAUAAGAAUUAACCCACUACAUAGUCUGUUUACCCAACAAAGAACGUCAUUACUAAAACAGAACCCCUGAGGUUGAUGACCUUCAUAAACCACGUUAACGGGCCAAUCUUCCUCCAAAUAAUUUGUUGUAUGGUGACACACAUAAUAUAUGGUAGCUGCGAACUGAAUAAUUAACACACUUGCAUUAUCAUCGUUCAUGAUAAAGCAGCUAAGUGUCUCGAUAGGUUCGCAUACAUCCGAAGGCAGAUACCAAGGCAAGCAGCUGGGUGAACUGACCAAUUCCAUCAUAAAGCAAUGCCCUUAAACCUGAAACCAAAAGGACCCACCCCCCUCCACUCGAGUGUCCGACAAUUUCAUACGUACUCAAAUCGACGGGAACUCUUUUGUUAUUCAAAGUAUGAACAAAAAAAACUGUGGAAUGAUGCAUAUAAGGAUUGCUAGAGAAUAAAAAAAAACCUCCAUUACAGACCUUUGGUAGGGUGUGAAAGGUUUAUCUCGAAUCCUCCUGGCAAUGAGAACAUAUCACAAAGCAAAUUAUUGAAUUUUGCUAUUGACUUUAGGAAAGAAAUAUUAUGCAGGGUCAAGGAAGACAAGCACGAGAAUGACAAUUAAAGGAAAUGAAAUAAAACAGAAUUGUUACCUUAAAAAAUUCAUGGCUGCACCAUUUUUCGGUGCCACCACUUCAGGGCCUUGAACCAAGGCUUGCUAAAGGGCUAAUAAAGAUUGGACACAAAUGUGUUCCAUUAGUUAUUAGCAAUGCAUUGUCGAGGCAUAGAGUUGUUUCUCAAUCUCGCCCAAUCAGAUCAUUUCUAUUUUUUAAUGGUCGUGUGCCGGGAUGGACAGAGAUUGCCAAAGCUCUUACCGAGCAACUUUAUGACGACAAAGAAUUUUUGAUAGUAUUUGACUUGUCAGAAUUUUGCUCCAACUCUCAUUUUCAUCUAAGGUGGACACCUAGAAAAAGCAACGUGGUUGCCAUCUCGUAGGCCAGUUGGCUUUGUCAUCGCGUUCUGGAUACUCAGACUCACAAUCUGUCUUACACCUCGUUGGUUUUCCCACCAGAUUUUUCAGUUCCUGUUAUCAUGAAAACUGUUGCACAGAAGGACUGCUCACAGAAGCUGUGAAGAGCAGGCCUUUCACUGUGUUGUUGUUUCGCAAUGUUGAUAAGGCUUAUUCUUUUGUUAUUGAUGUUCUGAUUGAGAUCAUUAGCCAUGGCAGAGUAUCAAAUGGCCAAGGAAGCACCACUGACUUCACCAAAAUGCCGAUUAUCAUGACAUCAAAUGUUUGGAAAUGCAAAUGUAUAUGGUUGAAGAAAACCAGCUGAAAGGCUUAUCUCCUGACACAUUGCAACAAGAUCAUCAAUGCACCUAUCUUAACUUUCUGAGGAAGAUGGGUGAAUAUGCUAUGAAGAUUUGGCUAGAGGAGAAGUUGCUCCCCCCAUUAUUUGAUAUGCUUGCAAAGAAUGAGAUGGAUGAUGAUAUGUCCACGAUUUACAUUGAUGCGCUGGUGGGACAACAGGAGUUGUCUUAUAGACUGGAGGGUGCAUAUAAAGCGGAAAUAUUGUGCAUGAAGCUGUACAAAGAAUUAAGGGGAUUGUUAAGAAGAAAUCUGUUUGGACUGAUGAAUUUACUAGAUGCAGAGGCUAGAGCAGAUUUGGACUGUGUUGCAGAGGUUGCUCGACCGCUGGUUAAGACAUUAGACGAUCUCAUAAAAAAUGCAAUUGAAGUCGACUUUAUGCCAAGUGCAUUUGAACUCCUUAAAUGAGGAACGUGAGCUUAAGCCGAGAGAAAGGCUUAUGAGUGAGAGUUCUAAGAAUGGAGCGCCAAGGACUUCGGUUAAGAUUGGGUAGAAGAGUGGUAGGACAACAUCAGGCAAGUGAUGUGAGACAAAAUCAUUAGGUCUCGUAUUUUAUAUCUAUGUCUUUUUACAUACACCAUCUCAAUUUGUUCAUUUCUAAAUAUAUGCUUGUUCUGAUAAAUUUUUUUUGCGUUAUGAAAACAUUGAUGUUUGUUUCAACGUGGAUGUUUUCCUAAAAACUCUUUUAUCAUUCCUUGUGUUCGGUACUUUGGUUACCUUUUAAAAUUAUUUUAAAAAAUUAUGGUAAAAGGUGAGAGACUUCGAGAUACAAUCGUAUACACCCCCGUAUCAUCCCCCAAGUUGUAUAUGACUAAUACAUUGCUUUUAAAACUUUGUCCAAAAAAGUUUAGAAUUUUAACCAAACACAAAAGAAAUGUGAAAAAUGUUUACUUAAAAACCAACAGAGCAUUUAUGUGUUAUCGGUUCUCCUUCUUCCAUAGCCCGAGUUCGUAGAAGAAAAGAUAGGAGGGCCCUAUGGAGAAUGUGGUCAAUCUCAUCACUAAAGUGAUGACUGAGACAAUAAUGCUGAGAUGAUUGUGGCUGUAGAGUUGUUGCAAUGUCCUUUUUGUCAUCAUCUUGUAAAUCUAAUUAACUAAAAAAGUCUUAGCAUCUAGUAAUGAUGGUCCCUCGUGUAUGUAAUCUCAACUACUUGAAUUAUCUUCCUUAAAUUUGUAGUCUAGGAUAAUAGGGUUGAAUCUACCGUGAAGUUAUUGUUGCCUUCUUUCUUUAAGUUUUUGCUAAUCUAAAUUGAUAGUUUUAUUUUAAUGC
This is a long non-coding RNA of Cornus florida, 5338 nucleotides long. RefSeq lists it as uncharacterized. The transcript has 12 exons. NCBI's taxonomy places the organism in Eukaryota, Viridiplantae, Streptophyta, Magnoliopsida, Cornales, Cornaceae. The record is from RefSeq and is a predicted model, not a curated record.